This 497-nucleotide ribosomal RNA is filed under the name uncultured bacterium. RNAcentral's name for it is "partial 16S ribosomal RNA". It matches the Rfam family "Bacterial small subunit ribosomal RNA", at positions 28 to 507 of the family's 1533-position model. The record is from RNAcentral.
GAUGAACGCUGGCGGCGUGCCUAAUACAUGCAAGUCGAGCGAACGGACGAGAAGCUUGCUUUUCUGAUGUUAGCGGCGGACGGGUGAGUAACACGUGGAUAACCUACCUAUAAGACUGGGAUAACUUCGGGAAACCGGAGCUAAUACCGGAUAAUAUUUUGAACCGCAUGGUUCAAAAGUGAAAGACGGUCUUGCUGUCACUUAUAGAUGGAUCCGCGCUGCAUUAGCUAGUUGGUAAGGUAACGGCUUACCAAGGCAACGAUGCAUAGCCGACCUGAGAGGGUGAUCGGCCACACUGGAACUGAGACACGGUCCAGACUCCUACGGGAGGCAGAAGUAGGGAAUCUUCCGCAAUGGGCGAAAGCCUGACGGAGCAACGCCGCGUGAGUGAUGAAGGUCUUCGGAUCGUAAAACUCUGUUAUUAGGGAAGAACAUAUGUGUAAGUAACUGUGCACAUCUUGACGGUACCUAAUCAGAAAGCCACGGCUAACUACGUG